This 775-nucleotide ribosomal RNA is filed under the name uncultured Neocallimastigales. RNAcentral's name for it is "partial large subunit ribosomal RNA". It matches the Rfam family "Eukaryotic large subunit ribosomal RNA", at positions 22 to 639 of the family's 3401-position model. The record is from RNAcentral. Lineage: Eukaryota; Fungi; Neocallimastigomycota; Neocallimastigomycetes; Neocallimastigales.
GGUACACGCUGUGACUAGCAUAUCAAUAAGCGGAGGAAAAGAAACUAACAAGGAUUCCCCUAGUAACGGCGAGUGAAGCGGGAAGAGCUCAAAUUUGAAAUCUUAAAGGGUUUCCCUUUACGAAUUGUAGUUUAAAGAAGUGUUUUCUGUUGAGGUUUUGGUAAAAGUUCUUUGGAAUAGGACAUCAUAGAGGGUGAGAAUCCCGUAUUUGACCUUUACUUUCAACUUUGUGAUACACUUUCAAAGAGUCGGAUUGUUUGGGAAUGCAGUCCAAAAUGGGUGGUAAAUUUCAUCUAAAGCUAAAUAUUGGCGAGAGACCGAUAGCGAACAAGUACCGUGAGGGAAAGAUGAAAAGAACUUUGAAAAGAGAGUUAAACAGUACGUGAAAUUGUCAAAAGGGAAGCGUUUGACACCAGUGUUGUUUUUCUGAAAAUCAAUUAAAGAACUGUUUAUGCUAAGCUGUUUAGACUUUAUCAGCUAACUGUUUAGUUUUGAGCUUUUCUUUAAUGCACUUUUCAGUUAACAAGUCAACAUCAAUUUCUUUUGCUGUAAAAAAGCUUGAGGAAGGUGGCUUGAGAUUCGUCUUAAGUGUUUAUAGCCUCUUGCCUAUGCAGUCGGAGAGAUUGAGGUCUGCAGCGUAGAUCCUUCGGGGCUAAAUGCAUUUGUGCUAAGUUAUAACAUUUUAUAGACAACUUGUUGACUAUGAUUUGUCUUGUAGCUUACUCGCUUAUGUUAUUUUACCUACGCUUAGGAUGUUGACGCGCGUGUGUGCGUG